Molecule: long non-coding RNA, 1422 nt
Organism: Galleria mellonella (greater wax moth)
Lineage: Eukaryota; Metazoa; Arthropoda; Insecta; Lepidoptera; Pyralidae
Exons: 3
Source: RefSeq, a predicted model, not a curated record
CAAAAGUGUUGGACACUUUGAAGUGAGAACGUGAACGCGUACAAAAGACCCACACGCGGGGACUAAGUGAACCAGGUAUCAUAAAAGGCGAGUAAGGGAGAGCGAGGGAUGGGCACCAGCAUCCCUUUUAAAACAUCUCCAAAGCCUAAAUGCGAUUGCUAAUCCGCUUGUCAAGCGUGGCAACUACUGGCAAAAUCUCUCUAGGAGGAGGCUUAUCUUCAGAAGUGGACAGUUAAAGGCUGGUUAUGUUGUCGUGUCGGUUCGGAAAUGCUGCUGCUGGAAGUUGAUUCCAAAGAAUGGUUGUGCGUGGAAGAAAGUGCCUUGAAAAACGCUCGGUGGAAGACCGCUACUCGUCCAGAUGAUUGGGGUGAAACUUUAGUUUGUGGCGGGUUGUACGGUGGUGAAAAUCAGCAGCAGGUAUCAAUCCGAACAAUUCCUCAGAACACUCCCCAUGAUAAAUUCGGUAGAAGAUGCACAGAGUUGCAACAUCUCUGCGCAGUUUCAGUUGGUCAAGUCGGACAGUAAGGCGCUAAUCAUCAAUACUUCGAGCCGGCCGAAUUUGAUUGCGGUCUAACGGAAGGAGUUGGUACUGUGGCGCUCCUGCCCACAGAUGAGAACAGUAUUCCAUAUGCAGCCUGACUUGGGCUUUAUAUAAUUUCAGGCGGUGUUCUGGCAUGAAAUAUCGAAUUAGGUUUGAUGUGCCAGCUGACCCGUUUACAUCUUCACCAAUCAUUCCUCACCGAUGCCAGCGUUCAUAACGUCCAAGAUGAAUAUUAUGCUUGUGUUAGAAAGUCUGCGAAAAAUUGCUUUCAGGGCAUUUCUAGAUAUCAAGCCUAAUUUUAUCUUUUAUCAUUCCUUACUGGUACUUAGCGUUAUACCAAAAUAUACCGAUAGCACAGGCAGGGUUAUCAUUCCAUUGUUAUCCAUAAAAAAGCAUACUUCUUUAAAAGUUAUAAAUCAAACUUGACUGUAAAAUUUUGACCUUAUAAAAUAUAUAACCAUUUUACCAGAGAUUCACCACCUAACCAAUUUUGAUACUUUUUCUGACAUUUAAAAUAUUUAUUAUGUGUAUAUUUAAUAUAGUAAUAGGGUAAUAAAAUAAAACAAGCAUAUAAAGAUUUAAUAUUGGACUAAUAUUUAGUAAAAUACCAUAUUAUAAUAAUAAAAUUCAUAUAAAAAUUCAAGUAUUUCAAUUUUAAACAAUACCUACGAACUUGUGGGAUCGGCGUCAACGCGUUUAUACAAGGAGAUCUCACAUAAACAGUCCACGAUUCGUCGUGUUAACUUUUUAACGGCGACAAAAAGUCGCUCGUGUGCGUCGAGCUGUUAUCUGAAAACCUAACUUAGCACAAACGCAAUACAAAGGGAAAUCGUAAAAAGAUAACAUUUCGAGGUUUACGUUGGAGGCAGCGGCUUGUGACU